AACUAAUAUGAGAUAGACUCAUGACAUGCAAAGCGAGAUAUGUCAAGCCUUUAUUUGUUAUAAUUGUGAUGUUUAUGGCGUACAUCACAAUCGUAACAAAGGCUUGACAUAUCUCGCUUUGCAUGUCAUGAGUCUAUCUCAUAUAUUAGUU
Molecule: non-coding RNA, 151 nt
Organism: Podarcis lilfordi (Lilford's wall lizard)
Lineage: Eukaryota; Metazoa; Chordata; Lepidosauria; Squamata; Lacertidae
Source: the annotation of a GenBank genome assembly